Molecule: ribosomal RNA, 449 nt
Filed under: uncultured bacterium
Lineage: Bacteria
Description: partial 16S ribosomal RNA
Rfam family: Bacterial small subunit ribosomal RNA
Source: RNAcentral
AACGAACGCUGGCGGCAGGCUUAACACAUGCAAGUCGAACGCAUCCUUCGGGGUGAGUGGCAGACGGGUGAGUAACGCGUGGGAACGUGCCCUUCAGUUCGGGAUAACCCAGGGAAACUUGGGCUAAUACCGGAUACGUGCGAGAGCAGAAAGAUUUAUCGCUGAAGGAUCGGCCCGCGUCUGAUUAGUUAGUUGGUGGGGUAAUGGCCCACCAAGGCGACGAUCAGUAGCUGGUCUGAGAGGAUGAGCAGCCACAUUGGGACUGAGACACGGCCCAAACUCCUACGGGAGGCAGCAGUGGGGAAUAUUGGACAAUGGGCGCAAGCCUGAUCCAGCCAUGCCGCGUGAGUGAUGAAGGCCUUAGGGUUGUAAAGCUCUUUCGUCCGGGACGAUAAUGACGGUACCGGAAGAAGAAGCCCCGGCUAACUUCGUGCCAGCAGCCGCAGUAA